Molecule: non-coding RNA, 1498 nt
Organism: Pelobates cultripes (western spadefoot toad)
Lineage: Eukaryota; Metazoa; Chordata; Amphibia; Anura; Pelobatidae
Source: the annotation of a GenBank genome assembly
GUUUAUUUUUAAUGAAAUAUGUACAGGCCAGAUAGGCAUUUUCAAAGCUUUAGGCUCUGUAAGCAUUACCUGUUAAAGGCCAUCAUGAACCUGUGGUGAAUUCAUGCCCAUUUAAAACAAUGGUGCCUGGGUUCAAAUAAGACCCCUUUGUUUUUAUUUCAUAGAAUUUUUUUUUUUUUAAUUUUUUUCUUUUCUUUUGGGAUCCUAAAGUGGCAGUCUAUAUUGUGCCCAUUCCUUUGUAAAGGUAUUAAUGCCAUUCAUGAUAUUUAAGGGUGUUUUUUUUUUUUGAGGUGACCAGUGGUUUUCAAACUAGAACUCAAUGGUUCACGAUCCGAUGGCUUACUAUUAUUCAUUUAAGAAUCUUCGAAAAACAUGGUUGCCCAAUAGUCCUUGAGAGCUAGUUUUUGAUCCAUGGUCUGAAAUUAACAAAAUCCUUCCAAAUUUAGGUCCGUGAGAGUUUUAAACAUCGGGAAUUUCAGAACUUUAUGAAUUGUCACACAAAACGUCUUAUUGUGGCUUUUCAGAAUGGCCUUGGAUUGUUAAAGUAGUCAGUGAGCACCUGUACAAUAUAGGCGUCCCUUGCUUACUCGUUCUGAUCUGUGGGUCUCCAUUUGCAUUUUAUAUCUGUCUUGUAAGAGAGCUGAGCUCUUCCACAGCCUCCACCAUAGAGGAACCAUCAGUGGUGGAAUUUUCCUCCAUGUUGGAAGAUGUGGGAAUUCAUCUGGGCUGGGUCAACUUGUGCUAACUAGCUCUUGCUGGACUGUAAAUUCCACUGACAACCCUUAAGUAAGCCGUUGAUAAUGGCAGUAACAAUUAAGCAGCAAGUGAUAUGCCACUGAUUUAAAUAAUUAUGUAGUCACGUUUGCAAUUGCUUAACAUGCAAAAACAAUCAGGACAUCUUUCAUCUACUGUGCUAUGGCCUCUGGCUUCCUAUAGUACCGCGGCCAUCCUGAACUUCUCAGCUGUUCAAAGGCACCUACAGUUUACUAUACACACAUGUAUUAUACCCAUGUAAAAUAUUUCAGAUCAGAUGGGACUAUAGUUUUUUUUUUUUUCCUAGCAAAACUUAAAGGAGCACUAUAUAACCUAACAUAUUUUCAUAGUUAGUCUCUGCACAGUAAAAUAGGUGCCUUUUUAACAUGAUAUAGUAAGUGUUAGCAGACUGGUUGGUGUCCUAAAGCAGCAAGUGGCUUCAGUAAUUGUGUGUUUUUUUUUUUUUUUGUUUUUUUUUUUUCUAUAACCUCAUCAUAUUGUGGGUGCUAAAAAGCAAGACCCAGGUUGGCAGAAUUAUUCUCGGCUGUAACCAUAUUUCUUUGUGCACUGACUUAUAGAAGAAAGUAGAUUUCAUAGGGGUCAUUGUAACAUCUAUGGAAACUGCUUUUUGGUGUGAACUGUCAUUAAUACAAUAGCAUUUUUUCUUUUCUUUUUUUUUUUAAACUUUUUUUUUUUUUUUAUAUAUAUUGCAAAAUGAACCUAAUAAAUCUUUGCAAAUAACAAG